RNAcentral lists this ribosomal RNA (492 nucleotides) under uncultured bacterium. RNAcentral describes it as "partial 16S ribosomal RNA". It matches the Rfam family "Bacterial small subunit ribosomal RNA", at positions 29 to 507 of the family's 1533-position model. The record is from RNAcentral.
AGUGAACGCUGGCGGUAGGCCUAACACAUGCAAGUCGAACGGCAGCACAGUAAGAGCUUGCUCUUACGGGUGGCGAGUGGCGGACGGGUGAGGAAUACAUCGGAAUCUACUUUUUCGUGGGGGAUAACGUAGGGAAACUUACGCUAAUACCGCAUACGACCUACGGGUGAAAGCAGGGGAUCUUCGGACCUUGCGCGAUUGAAUGAGCCGAUGUCGGAUUAGCUAGUUGGCGGGGUAAAGGCCCACCAAGGCGACGAUCCGUAGCUGGUCUGAGAGGAUGGUCACCCACACUGGAACUGAGACACGGUCCAGACUCCUACGGGAGGCAGCAGUGGGGAAUAUUGGACAAUGGGCGCAAGCCUGGUCCAGCCAUACCGCGUGUGUGAAGAAGGCCUUCGGGUUGUAAAGCCCUUUUGUUGGGAAAGAAAAGCAGCAGGUUAAUACCCCGCUGUUCUGACGGUACCCAAAGAAUAAGCACCGGCUAACUUCGUG